RNAcentral lists this ribosomal RNA (253 nucleotides) under uncultured bacterium. Its description in RNAcentral is "partial 16S ribosomal RNA". It matches the Rfam family "Bacterial small subunit ribosomal RNA", at positions 524 to 776 of the family's 1533-position model. The record is from RNAcentral.
UACGUAGGGGGCAAGCGUUGUCCGGAUUUAUUGGGCGUAAAGAGCGUGUAGGCGGCCACACAGGUCUGCUGUGAAAACUCGAGGCUCAACCUCGAGCUGUCGGUGGAAACCGUGUGGCUAGAGUCCGGAAGAGGAGAGUGGAAUUCCCGGUGUAGCGGUGAAAUGCGCAGAUAUCGGGAAGAACACCCGUGGCGAAGGCGGCUCUCUGGGACGGUACUGACGCUGAGACGCGAAAGCCAGGGGAGCAAACGGG